GACGAACGCUGGCGGCGUGCUUAACACAUGCAAGUCGAACGGAAAGGCCCUGCUUUUGUGGGGUGCUCGAGUGUCGAACGGGUGAGUAACACGUGAGUAACCUGCCCUUGACUUUGGGAUAACUUCAGGAAACUGGGGCUAAUACCGGAUAGGAGCUCCUGCUGCAUGGUGGGGGUUGGAAAGUUUCGGCGGUUGGGGAUGGACUCGCGGCUUAUCAGCUUGUUGGUGGGGUAGUGGCUUACCAAGGCUUUGACGGGUAGCCGGCCUGAGAGGGUGACCGGCCACAUUGGGACUGAGGUACGGCCCAGACUCCUACGGGAGGCAGCAGUGGGGAAUAUUGCACAAUGGGCGGAAGCCUGAUGCAGCAACGCCGCGUGCGGGAUGACGGCCUUCGGGUUGUAAACCGCUUUCGCCUGUGACGAAGCGUGAGUGACGGUAAUGGGUAAAGAAGCACCGGCUAACUACGUG
RNAcentral lists this ribosomal RNA (468 nucleotides) under uncultured bacterium. RNAcentral's name for it is "partial 16S ribosomal RNA". It matches the Rfam family "Bacterial small subunit ribosomal RNA", at positions 28 to 507 of the family's 1533-position model. The record is from RNAcentral.